AUGGUGUCCUGCUCGACGACGUCCAUGGUGGAGAAGCUCGCGUCCCUGGAUCCGCUCGCCAAGGCGGCAGGUGGCGUCGCCUGGGAGUUGCUGCCCAUGGUGCAACCAGUGCGGACUCCGUUCACGUCUUGCUCAGGCAGGCGCUGCGGGCUGACGACCGCGCGGAGCUGCUGGGCUGCCUGUACAACAGAGAUGGCAAGGUGGAGUACUUGCUUGAGGUCCAGGUUCAUCCUCUUCUGGUGGAGAACAAUUCAGGUCAAAGUUCAACAUCUUCGUGUUGCUGUUGCUGUUGUUGCUUGA
This 300-nucleotide ribosomal RNA is filed under the name Triticum aestivum (bread wheat). RNAcentral describes it as "partial small subunit ribosomal RNA". The record is from RNAcentral. Lineage: Eukaryota; Viridiplantae; Streptophyta; Magnoliopsida; Poales; Poaceae.